UUGCUUUUAACUCAUUUUAUAAUUAAAUUUUAUAAAUUCGAAUAAUUAGAGUUCAACUCAGUGAUAUCCGAACCCACUCAGGCGUGUCCACAGGUUGUCACUUGUUCUAUCCAUUACAGAGAGUGCUACAUUGCAUUUCCUUUCGGGAUGGUUGCAAUACACAAUAAGUAAACAAUUCUCCUCAUUUUUCAUUUUGUUUUUCUAACGUAGAAGAGAGGACUACUGCAUGCCCUGCUUCCGCUUACAUUACAGGAAACUAAGGCAAAUUUAAGAAAUUAAAUCAAAUAAUUAUAGAUAUCCAAGAUAUUACUACCAAAAGUACUAAUCAUCAUCCUCACUUUCAUCGCUAUAUGACACAAGACCAGUUUUAGCAACCUCAGGGAACUCGUUAGGAUCACUAUUAGGUACUUUCACUUGGUCUGAAGAUUUUUCAGUAUCAACAUCAGGUGUGCUCACAAUGUUUGAAGGUUGAACAUUGCCUUCAUGUGUCUUUGCUUUCUUUGCCUGUGGUUUGACCUUAAUAAUCAUAUUUAAUGAGCGAGUAGAUGGAUUCUUCUUCCCAACGGUUUUCCGUUCCUGAACUACAGGAACAGGUGGCUUUUCGUUCAAUUCAUGCAUAAUGGUAGACUGUGCAGCAACUGCAGCCUGAAAGACAAAUCAGACAGUACCAUAUGAGAUAAAAGACAUAACAAAAAUGAAAGAUCAAAAGUUCUAAACACAUCAAUAAAAAGGAUAUUUUGAAAAAAUUAAGGGGAUGCUCUGAGUAGUCGUGUAUUAGAAGGGAUUAUUAGCACAAUAAUUUUUGCGCUACUCAAAAUCGUUUAUAUUUUGAAAAGUUAAUAAGACUAAUCAAAGCAGCAUAUGGUAAAGAAGAUAUUAUGAACUCACUUGGCUCUAAUUCCCCUAUAGCUUGAGCAUUAAUACACCAACAAAUUAGAAUGUACAACUCCAUUUUUCCACAGGGACUACAAUCCGAUCAAUAGACUAAGCUUUCCAUGAGGAAAUGAAUAACAAGUCCCAUUAUCAUGAUUCAUGAAUUACAAUAAUAAGAAGGCAAUAUCUUGUCAGUGUUAACCAUCAGAUCUAGAAUCCUAAAUAUGAAGUCAAAGCAACACCCUGAAAUCUUAAAGUUAUAGCAGUUGUCCAACUUGAAUAAAUUUAGUAGAUUACUUGGAAAAUCCGAAGCUGUUCCUCUUCCUCAUAUGCCAUUUGCAGCUCAUAUUCCCUCUUUGACUGUUUGCACAAUAUACAAAGAACAAACAAAAAAAUUUUAUUAAUAAUAUCAAUAACAAUUCUGAUACAUGCUAAUAAUUUUUUUUUUUUUUUUUU
This 1329-nucleotide unclassified non-coding RNA is filed under the name Hevea brasiliensis (rubber tree). Lineage: Eukaryota; Viridiplantae; Streptophyta; Magnoliopsida; Malpighiales; Euphorbiaceae. The record is from RNAcentral.